Molecule: long non-coding RNA, 437 nt
Organism: Choloepus didactylus (southern two-toed sloth)
Lineage: Eukaryota; Metazoa; Chordata; Mammalia; Pilosa; Megalonychidae
Exons: 4
Source: RefSeq, a predicted model, not a curated record
GCUUUCCCAGUAACAGCCUGUGAGGUGUGUGAGACACUGACAGUUUUUCACCCAACCGCCAGCUGCAAAAGUGAGGUUCCAGUGAGGACUUCCUGACUACCUGGAACUGUCUUACCCAAAAUUAUGUAGUCCUUUCAAUAUGCAUGAUUAAAAACCAUGUGGCCGCAGCACGCUCUCUGCAGAGACUCAUGAGUAAAAGCCAGAAGACAGCCAGCCCAUCACACACACUGCAAGUUCCCAGUACUGUCCUCUGAAAUUACCUGGAAACAAUGACAAGGAGCAAUGAGCUUUCCCUACACCCAUUCCCCAUUCCCGUUGUAGGGAAGAGAACGUGCAAGGCCAACAUAAGGAGACCCCAUGCAAACUCAGGAGGAGCUUCCGUGAGUGCUGAGACGUCUCUGUGCCGGGAGGGUGAGUGCUCUGACUCCACAUGGAGA